Molecule: unclassified non-coding RNA, 383 nt
Filed under: Hevea brasiliensis (rubber tree)
Lineage: Eukaryota; Viridiplantae; Streptophyta; Magnoliopsida; Malpighiales; Euphorbiaceae
Source: RNAcentral
GCCUAUCACAGGGUCAAUCAUUCGGCAGGGACCGCACCAUGAAGCCCAAAACUCGACUAGGACUGGCUUAUCGCAUUCUAGGACAAGCGACUGCCAUGUUGUCUUGGUCACGUCCGGAACUUCAAUCGCGGCCGUCUCCUGCGCCUCACAGACGACAGACCUCCGGCGAGCGGCCACGCCGCUCGCCAGAGCCACCGUCAUCGCCUUCGGCGCUGCAAUCCGCAGCCCAACAGACGCCGGCAAGAGCGCCGAUCCCCGGGGGCCGAAAGCGGCGGAGAUCGGCGCCAAGGCCGCGGAAGCAACUGCGACACCAGGACCAGAGCGAGGGACUGAGAGGGACGGGAUGACUGCAGCCGCCAUGGGGUUGUAGAGAGAGAUCGCGG